GUGGUUGUUGACAAUCCUUUUCAUUCCUUGGCUUGUAAUUGUAUGCCUCUGCCUUUACUCUUGUGUUCAUUUGGUGCUCUCUCUAUAUGUAUCUGUGCCUAAAUUUCCCUCUGCUUAUAAGAAAACCAGUCAUAUUGGAUUAGGAACCACUUUAGUCCAGUAUGAUCUAAUUUUAACUAAUUAUAUAGUUAAAGGCCCUAUUUUAACAUAAGCUCACAUUCUGAGUUUAUGAGUGGGCAUGGAUUUGGGGGUCUUCAACCCAGUUUAAGCAUGUAUAUAAUAGUUGACUUAAAGUGUUUUUUGAAAAUGGAAAUUUUUAAUAAUAUAAUGUGUAAACACUGGACAUCAGAUACUCUCCCUUUCUGGUGUUUGUUGCUGCCACUGCUUGUUUCUCUUGCUGUUUCUUAUUAAUUAAUUUUCCGAACCAGUUCUAUAAAGUCUCUGUUCUUUGUCACACGUAUCACUGAAGUCUCUGCUUGCUUAGCUUUGUGGUCACCUAAUGAUUCAAAAGACAUUUCCGUAAAUGCCUGGAAGCAAUCAGUCUUCUAGCCUUCGCUGAUGGGUUCUGCAUAUGAGUUCAGGCAUGCCUUCAGGACUCCACCAGGCACUUGGUAAUUCUGCCUUAUCCUUCACUUUUUGCUUGAGCAGCGCCGAAAGGUGAGCCAGAGGUGAGAGCUUAUGGCCAUUUCAGAUGAUUUCUGAGCACGUCCACAGCUGUAUGCAUAUAUGUGACUUUCUAUUUUCCUAACUACUUUCAAUACAUGCCCUGCAGAAAGACCGUUGCUCUGAGUAAGCUCUGAGUCAGGUCAAAUAAAGGCAAGCCUUGUGAGUAGGGUCUUCCAGGAACCAUCAGACAAUUAAAAUAGUGACGAUCCUAUUGGAAUUGGGUUUUGAUGAAGCCCCAAACUUGUUUUGGCCCCCAGUGGCUGGCAGGCUGCUGGUUUUCCUACUACUGUGUGCGAGUUUUAGGGCUGUCAUCCCCGGUGGGGGUGGAAAUGAGGAGAAAAGAAAAGCAAUGUUAACACUCAAUAAAAUGUGCUGCUCUUACCAAGAUUAAACUAGUUUUUUUGAAUAAACCUGCUGAAUUGUUACAAGCCUUUGGUUAAUUUCCCAAGUCCUGAAAGGAUUGAUUCUGCUCAUUUUUGAAAGCAUUCUCAUUGUUUUUAUAGAUUGGAAAAACUUCAGAGAUCCUUACUCUGUCGUUUCCCCUGACAUCCCAUUACCAUAUCUUUUCAGACUAACAAAUAUUUUCUUUAUUUUGUUUUUAUCAUAAUCAGAGAAAACAACAAGUCUUAAAAUGUGAAGUAUUUAAUUAUUUGGCUAAGCAACAUGCAUAUCAUUCUGGAAACAUGGUAAAGAAGCAGGCUCCAUUCUUGAUCCUGGGAAAGCUGCAUUCUUGGCAGUCACUGACAUUAUACUAUUGAGGACAGGCAGGGCAAGCCACCACUAGUUUCAUUGUAAAGGCACAAUUUAUCCCCCAGGAAUACCAGGCAAAUAAGAGUGGCCUAUUCUCUUCUAUUUCCAGAAAUCACUUAAGCCAACGUGACUUGGAUUUAUUAUUUCUCACAAGAGAUUUCUCUUUAUAUCUUUGAAUUCAUUGCUAGUGUACUUCACUAUGAGAUUUCGAAUUUCUAUUUUGUUAGUCUUUUAUUUUGAUGGAUUAGAAUAGACUAUAUUGU
This 1679-nucleotide long non-coding RNA is filed under the name Homo sapiens (human). RNAcentral describes it as "non-protein coding lnc-AKR1E2-7:4". Lineage: Eukaryota; Metazoa; Chordata; Mammalia; Primates; Hominidae. The record is from RNAcentral.